AGUUCUAAAAUGAAAUAGAUGGUUAGAUUGAUCGAUCUACAGUCUACUAGUCUACACUGACUGUAACUGAACUGAGGUUGAGCCUGCAAAAAAGACACAAAAUGGCAAGCAACAGUCAAUAGGGAAGAUUAUCCACAAAGGCACUGCUAGUGGUAAUAAAAGAGCUUCUGGCUCUGCCAAUGUUAAUCUGCCGUUGAACUUAGAGACCUCCAAAUGUGGUUCUUGU
Molecule: long non-coding RNA, 226 nt
Organism: Camellia sinensis
Lineage: Eukaryota; Viridiplantae; Streptophyta; Magnoliopsida; Ericales; Theaceae
Source: RefSeq, a predicted model, not a curated record